UGAAUGAUGUUGUAUCAACCUCCUGAUUCUGAGUUCGCUUUGAGGAGCCUCUUUUCUGAU
RNAcentral lists this small nucleolar RNA (60 nucleotides) under Euglena gracilis. RNAcentral describes it as "Eg-m116 box C/D methylation-guide". Lineage: Eukaryota; Euglenozoa; Euglenophyceae; Euglenales; Euglenaceae. The record is from RNAcentral.